GACGAACGCUGGCGGCGUGCUUAACACAUGCAAGUCGAACGGAAAGGCCCUGCUUGCAGGGUGCUCGAGUGGCGAACGGGUGAGUAACACGUGGGUGAUCUGCCCCUUACUUUGGGAUAAGCCUGGGAAACUGGGUCUAAUACUGGAUAGGACCAUGCUGUAGGUGGUGUGGUGGAAAGAUUAGUUUCGGUAAGGGAUGAGCUCGCGGCCUAUCAGCUUGUUGGUGGGGUAAUGGCCUACCAAGGCGUCGACGGGUAGCCGGCCUGAGAGGGUGGACGGCCACAUUGGGACUGAGAUACGGCCCAGACUCCUACGGGAGGCAGCAGUGGGGAAUAUUGCUCAAUGGGCGCAAGCCUGAUGCAGCGACGCCGCGUGGGGGAUGACGGCCUUCGGGUUGUAAACUCCUUUCAGCCAUGACGAAGCCCUUGUGGUGACGGUAGUGGUAGAAGAAGCACCGGCUAACUACGUG
Molecule: ribosomal RNA, 469 nt
Filed under: uncultured bacterium
Lineage: Bacteria
Description: partial 16S ribosomal RNA
Rfam family: Bacterial small subunit ribosomal RNA
Source: RNAcentral